RNAcentral lists this ribosomal RNA (250 nucleotides) under uncultured prokaryote. RNAcentral describes it as "partial 16S ribosomal RNA". It matches the Rfam family "Bacterial small subunit ribosomal RNA", at positions 524 to 774 of the family's 1533-position model. The record is from RNAcentral.
UACUUAGGGGGCGAGCGUUAUCCGGAUUUAUUGGGCGUAAAGCGUGUGUAGGCGGAUUAUUUAGUCUAAGAUCAAAGCCUGAGGCUCAACCUCAGUUCGUCUUAGAAACUGGUAGACUUGAGUGUGGUAGAGGCAAAUGGAACUUCUAGUGUAGCGGUUAAAUGCGUAGAUAUUAGAAAGAACACCAGUGGCGAAGGCGGUUUGCUGGGCCAUUACUGACGCUGAAACACGAAAGCGUGGGGAGCAAAUA